GUAGGUGGCAAGCGUUGUCCGGAAUUAUUGGGCGUAAAGCGCGCGCAGGCGGUUCUUUAAGUCUGAUGUGAAAGCCCACGGGCUCAACCGUGGAGGGUCAUUGGAAACUGGAGAACUUGAGUACAGAAGAGGAAAGCGGAAUUCCACGUGUAGCGGUGAAAUGCGUAGAGAUGUGGAGGAACACCAGUGGCGAAGGCGGCUUUCUGGUCUGUAACUGACGCUGAGGCGCGAAAGCGUGGGGAGCAAACAGGAUUAGAUACCCUGGUAGUCCACGCCGUAAACGAUGGGUGCUAAGUGUUAGGGGGUUUCCGCCCCUUAGUGCUGCAGCUAACGCAUUUAGCACUCCGCCUGGGGAGUACGGCCGCAAAGGCUG
RNAcentral lists this ribosomal RNA (373 nucleotides) under uncultured organism. RNAcentral describes it as "partial 16S ribosomal RNA". It matches the Rfam family "Bacterial small subunit ribosomal RNA", at positions 527 to 896 of the family's 1533-position model. The record is from RNAcentral.